RNAcentral lists this ribosomal RNA (463 nucleotides) under uncultured bacterium. Its description in RNAcentral is "partial 16S ribosomal RNA". It matches the Rfam family "Bacterial small subunit ribosomal RNA", at positions 28 to 507 of the family's 1533-position model. The record is from RNAcentral.
GACGAACGCUGGCGGCGUGCUUAACACAUGCAAGUCGAACGGUAAGGCCCCAGCUUGCUGGGGUACACGAGUGGCGAACGGGUGAGUAACACGUGGGUGACCUGCCCCGCACUUCGGGAUAAGCCUGGGAAACUGGGUCUAAUACCGGAUAGGACCGCACCGUGAGGGUGUGGUGGAAAGUUUUUCGGUGUGGGAUGGGCCCGCGGCCUAUCAGCUUGUUGGUGGGGUAAUGGCCUACCAAGGCGGCGACGGGUAGCCGGCCUGAGAGGGUGGACGGCCACAUUGGGACUGAGACACGGCCCAGACUCCUACGGGAGGCAGCAGUGGGGAAUAUUGCACAAUGGGCGGAAGCCUGAUGCAGCGACGCCGCGUGGGGAUGACGGCCUUCGGGUUGUAAACUCCUUUCACCAUCGACGAAGGUUUUCUGACGGUAGAUGGAGAAGAAGCACCGGCUAACUACGUG